RNAcentral lists this ribosomal RNA (253 nucleotides) under uncultured bacterium. Its description in RNAcentral is "partial 16S ribosomal RNA". It matches the Rfam family "Bacterial small subunit ribosomal RNA", at positions 524 to 776 of the family's 1533-position model. The record is from RNAcentral.
UACGUAGGGGGCGAGCGUUGUCCGGAAUCAUUGGGCGUAAAGAGCGUGUAGGCGGCCCGACAAGUCCGCUGUGAAAGUCCAGGGCUCAACCCUGGAAUGCCGGUGGAUACUGUCGGGCUAGAGUCCGGAAGGGGCGAGUGGAAUUCCUGGUGUAGCGGUGAAAUGCGCAGAUAUCAGGAGGAACACCAAUGGCGAAGGCAGCUCGCUGGGACGUGACUGACGCUGAGACGCGAAAGCGUGGGGAGCAAACAGG